This 1562-nucleotide long non-coding RNA is filed under the name Salmo salar (Atlantic salmon). RNAcentral describes it as "lncRNA (ENSSSAG00000099693.1, ENSSSAG00000113695.1)". The record is from RNAcentral. Lineage: Eukaryota; Metazoa; Chordata; Actinopteri; Salmoniformes; Salmonidae.
CGUCAUUGAGGAGGAGGAGGUGCUCCCUCUGUAUCACCACGUCAUUGAGGAGGAGGAGGUGCUCCCUCUGUAUCACCACGUCAUUGAGGAGGAGGUGCUCCCUAUAUAGUGCACUAUUUUAGACCAGAGCCCUAUGGCACCCUAUUCCCUAUAUAGUGCACUAUUUUAGACCAGAGCCCUGUGGGUUCUGAUGAUUCAAAGUAAUGCACUAUAGGUGAGACGAGGUUUUAAUACACUGAUGAGGUUUUAAUACACUGAUGAGGUAUUAAUACACUGUUUUAAUACACUGAUGAGGUAUUAAUACACUGUUUUAAUACACUGAUGAGGUAUUAAUACACUGUUUUAAUACACUGAUGAGGUAUUAAUACACUGACGAGGUAUUAAUACACUGUUUUAAUACACUGACGAGGUAUUUGAUGUGGACGGAUACAGACGUUUACCCAGUGCUGGUUACAGUUUGUCUAUAUAGUCUCCAAUGAUGACAUGAUUUUUGUUGUUUUAAUUAUGUCUUGUCUCGGAAACCUGCUUUUCCUGGUAGUUUUCAAAUGAACAGUUAAAUCAUCACAAGAUGUUAUGUUUGUAAUAAUGGUCUUUGGCGUGGAGACGGCCAACUCGUCCAGUUGAUUUCAUUCAUUUAGUCUGUGUUUUGUGAGUUUAACCUUGCAGGAAUGACAAGUGUCAUCAUGUGUUUGACUGGGAGCCGUCAUGAUUUAGCUACCGUUCAUGUGGUUGAAUCUGUGAUGAUUGCUUAGUUUAUAGUUUAUAACAAUUACAUUUUAUUUGUUGAAUCGCGUCCGAGUUUAAUUUGAUGUUUCAUCCUGUGUACAUUUUGUAUGAUUCAAAACCAUAUGGACAGCGGCGUUUCUUCCAUAUUUUGUUGUUGAGAAACUUAAAUACUGUGACUUGACUUCAGGUACCCAGAAUGAUCGAUAACAGCAGUACAAAUGGUAGUUUCACAGGUCUUUUCAAGUGCUGUUAACAUUGACUUACUCUUCAAUCAUGAUUAUGUUUUUCCAAUCACUUCACCGUCAGGACUUCUUUCUAUUUAAAUCUGAACCUGUAGUGCUGACAUCUUUGUCCUGGGGAAUAUGGCAGUCCUGUGUGAGACUUUAAUAACACUGCCAUCCAGUCCGUCAAUACAAUCCUCACAGUCUGUAGCCAUACAUUUUAAUAGACCCAGCCUCGGACUUACACAGUAACAGUAACUUUACUAUAAAACACUGACACAUAUUUACUGUUCUGUUUUAAAUGCUGUUUGACUGUUCACGAUUCCAUGUCAACCAUUACUACACCAGAAGCAAUAAAGUGUAUUUUGAUUUGUUUCUCAGACUCUUCCUGUCAUUUCAUUUUGGGGGUACUUUCACAUUCUACUGGUGUUGUGUACAUCUGUUUGUUGAGAGAAACGCUGAGCUUCAAUCUCUUCUUCGGAGCUCAUUAACUAAUCUCUAAUGUCCUCCAUUUUAUGAAAUGGAUGUUCUGUUCUGAGGUCCAAACCCAUCUUUAAUGCAACGGUUCUGCUAAGUAUGUUAUUAACGUAUGGUCCUCGAAUCACAAAGAUCCAG